GGACCAAAUACUAUAAAACUAGAGCCACACAUCUUGCAAUCUGACGUGUAAGGCACCAAGCUUAAUUCUUCAUAUUUUGGUGGUGCAUUCAGUUAGCUCCGGUUGUUCGUCCACCUGUUGCAGCGCCGUUUGUUCUAUCUGUUGCAACGCCAGUUGUUACUCCAUCUGUUGCUGCGCCGGUUGCUUCCUUGAGUUCGGCUCCGAUUUCCAUCGAGAGCCUGACUGCCGAAGUUAAACAGAAAGCUACUCUAGAGUCGGCUCCGUCGUCUCAGAAGGCGGUUAGGUUCCCUAACCGACCUGGUUACGGUCAAUUGGGAAGGAAAAUUCAAGUUCGUGCUAAUCAUUUUCAGUUGCGAGUGGCUGAUAAGGAUCUACACCACUAUGAUGAUCGGGACUUUUCAAAUUCCCACUCAUAUGAGAGUCAAUCGGGUUAAACUUGACUAAAGCACGCUUCAUAUAUAUGAAUGUACUAGUACUCAUUAACUGUACUCAUACAGUAUCCUACAAGAUAUUUUACAACAUGUUUAAAUGAUAACAGCUGUGUUAACAAAAGGGCAACAAUUUCUACACCUCUUGGUAAAAACAUUGGAUGAAUAAUCAAAACAAACCCUAAAUUAGGUGUAUUUUUCCAUUAGGGUUUCAUGAUCAUGAGAGUAAUGUGAGGGUUUCAUGAUCAUGAGAGUAGUGUGAGUGGAAUGUAAGAACAAAAAACAGUAAAAGUAAAGAAAGUGUAAUUACCGGGAAUAUGAAAAGGAGGAGGUAGGUGAACAAGGGUUGGGUUUGGUUCAGUGAUGUUGAGUUCAAAGAUCGGGGGCCGACGUUAUCAAAAUGUUGACUCAUCCUCACCUACCCGUGUUUAACAAUAUGUAACUUUAAUCUUAUGUAAUGUGAUCGAUGUAAUCUUCAUCCGAUUAAAUAAAGCGAAUCGUUCUUGUUUGUUAUUUUUCUU
Vicia villosa (hairy vetch) is the source of this 949-nucleotide long non-coding RNA. RefSeq lists it as uncharacterized. Lineage: Eukaryota; Viridiplantae; Streptophyta; Magnoliopsida; Fabales; Fabaceae. The record is from RefSeq and is a predicted model, not a curated record. The transcript has 3 exons.